GGGGAAUCUUGCGCAAUGGGCGAAAGCCUGACGCAGCGACGCCGCGUGAGUGAUGAAGGCCUUCGGGUUGUAAAGCUCUGUGGAGGGGGACGAAUAAGGGUUGGCUAACAUCCAGCUCGAUGACGGUACCCCUUUAGCAAGCACCGGCUAACUCUGUGCCAGCAGCCGCGGUAAGACAGAGGGUGCAAACGUUGUUCGGAAUUACUGGGCGUAAAGCGCGUGUAGGCUGCUCGGAAAGUCGGAUGUGAAAGCCCUGGGCUCAACCUAGGAAGUGCAUUCGAAACUUCCGAGCUGGAGUGCUGGAGAGGAAGGCGGAAUUCUCGGUGUAGAGGUGAAAUUCGUAGAUAUCGAGAGGAACACCGGUGGCGAAGGCGGCCUUCUGGACAGUAACUGACGCUGAGACGCGAAAGCGUGGGGAGCAAAC
RNAcentral lists this ribosomal RNA (424 nucleotides) under uncultured bacterium. RNAcentral's name for it is "bacterial SSU rRNA". It matches the Rfam family "Bacterial small subunit ribosomal RNA", at positions 356 to 773 of the family's 1533-position model. The record is from RNAcentral.